CUACGGGAGGCUCCAGUGGGGAAUAUUGCACAAUGGGCGCAAGCCUGAUGCAGCCAUGCCGCGUGUAUGAAGAAGGCCUUCGGGUUGUAAAGUACUUUCAGCGGGGAGGAAGGGAGUAAAGUUAAUACCUUUGCUCAUUGACGUUACCCGCAGAAGAAGCACCGGCUAACUCCGUGCCAGCAGCCGCGGUAAUAGGGAGGGUGGAAGCGUUAAUCGGAAUUACUGGGCGUAAAGCGCACGCAGGCGGUUUGUUAAGUCAGAUGUGAAAUCCCCGGGCUCAACCUGGGAACUGCAUCUGAUACUGGCAAGCUUGAGUCUCGUAGAGGGGGGUAGAAUUCCAGGUGUAGCGGUGAAAUGCGUAGAGAUCUGGAGGAAUACCGGUGGCGAAGGCGGCCCCCUGGACGAAGACUGACGCUCAGGUGCGAAAGCGUGGGGAGCAAACAGGAUUAGAUACCCGUGUAGUC
RNAcentral lists this ribosomal RNA (464 nucleotides) under uncultured bacterium. RNAcentral describes it as "partial 16S ribosomal RNA". It matches the Rfam family "Bacterial small subunit ribosomal RNA", at positions 339 to 795 of the family's 1533-position model. The record is from RNAcentral.